UAGGAUGCUUUGAGGAGUGACUUGAUGGUAAUCUCGGGACCCAAAACGGCGAGUUUAAAGUCGAAGCUAAAAGUAUCGUAUCGCAGGAAGAAUUCCACCAGGUAUAGCCUGCACAGGAGCACCACCAGAUUCUUGGCCGGGCACUGUUUAUUAUCCGGUGUGGGCUCCUCCGUCUCGCGUGCAUUGGACCACAGCACGUGAUUCAACAACUUCUCUCCAUCAGGCCCCACGAACCUGUUGGCAACAAACUCCUCCGGUUUCUCAAAUAUCUUAGGAUCU
Molecule: long non-coding RNA, 279 nt
Filed under: Phaseolus vulgaris (common bean)
Lineage: Eukaryota; Viridiplantae; Streptophyta; Magnoliopsida; Fabales; Fabaceae
Description: long non-coding RNA (PVUL_LNC000073)
Source: RNAcentral